This 497-nucleotide ribosomal RNA is filed under the name uncultured bacterium. RNAcentral describes it as "partial 16S ribosomal RNA". It matches the Rfam family "Bacterial small subunit ribosomal RNA", at positions 28 to 507 of the family's 1533-position model. The record is from RNAcentral.
GAUGAACGCUGGCGGCGUGCCUAAUACAUGCAAGUCGAGCGAACAGACGAGGAGCUUGCUCCUCUGACGUUAGCGGCGGACGGGUGAGUAACACGUGGAUAACCUACCUAUAAGACUGGGAUAACUUCGGGAAACCGGAGCUAAUACCGGAUAAUAUAUUGAACCGCAUGGUUCAAUAGUGAAAGACGGUUUUGCUGUCACUUAUAGAUGGAUCCGCGCCGCAUUAGCUAGUUGGUAAGGUAACGGCUUACCAAGGCAACGAUGCGUAGCCGACCUGAGAGGGUGAUCGGCCACACUGGAACUGAGACACGGUCCAGACUCUUACGGGAGGCAGCAGUAGGGAAUCUUCCGCAAUUGGCGAAAGCCUGACGGAGCAACGCCGCGUGAGUGAUGAAGGUCUUCGGAUCGUAAAACUCUGUUAUUAGGGAAGAACAAAUGUGUAAGUAACUAUGCACGUCUUGACGGUACCUAAUCAGAAAGCCACGGCUAACUACGUG